CAGUAGCCGCGGUAAUACGUAGGUGGCAAGCGUUGUCCGGAGUUAUUGGGCGUAAAGCGCGCGCAGGUGGUUUAAUAAGUCUGAUGUGAAAGCCCACGGCUCAACCGUGGAGGGUCAUUGGAAACUGUUAAACUUGAGUGCAGGAGAGAAAAGUGGAAUUCCUAGUGUAGCGGUGAAAUGCGUAGAGAUUAGGAGGAACACCAGUGGCGAAGGCGGCUUUUUGGCCUGUAACUGACACUGAGGCGCGAAAGCGUGGGGAGCAAACAGGAUUAGAUACCCCAGUAGUCCCUGUCUCUUAUAC
RNAcentral lists this ribosomal RNA (301 nucleotides) under uncultured bacterium. RNAcentral describes it as "partial 16S ribosomal RNA". It matches the Rfam family "Bacterial small subunit ribosomal RNA", at positions 509 to 807 of the family's 1533-position model. The record is from RNAcentral.